Molecule: ribosomal RNA, 402 nt
Filed under: uncultured bacterium
Lineage: Bacteria
Description: bacterial SSU rRNA
Rfam family: Bacterial small subunit ribosomal RNA
Source: RNAcentral
UAGGGAAUAUUGCAAAUGGGCGAAAGCCCGAUGCAGCAACGCCGCGUGGGCGAUGAAGGCCUUCGGGUCGUAAAGCCCUUUUUGAGGGGAUGAGGAAGGACAGUACCCUCAGAAUAAGCCUCGGCUAACUACGUGCCAGCAGCCGCGGUAAAACGUAGGAGGCGAGCGUUAUCCGGAUUUACUGGGCGUAAAGCGCGUGCAGGCGGAUUGGAGAGUUGGAUGUGAAAGCUCCCGGCUUAACUGGGAGAGGUCGUUCAAUACUUCCAGUCUUGAGUGCAGUAGAGGGAAGUGGAAUUCCGGGUGUAGUGGUGAAAUGCGUAGAUAUCCGGAGGAACACCAGUGGCGAAAGCGGCUUCCUGGACUGUAACUGACGCUCAGACGCGAAAGCUAGGGUAGCAAACG